UACAAAGGAAUUGACGGGACCGCACAAGCGGUGGAGGAUGUGGUUUAAUUCGAUGCUACGCGAAGAACCUUACCUGGGCUUGACAUGUAGGUGGUAGGGACCCGAAAGGGGACCGACCGGGGUUUAUCUCCGGAGCCUGCACAGGUGCUGCAUGGCUGUCGUCAGCUCGUGCCGUGAGGUGUAUGGUUAAGUCCCGCAACGAGCGCAACCCCUGCCUUUAGUUGCUAACCGGUUCGCCGGUGCACUCUAGAGGGACUGCCUCCGUUAAGGAGGAGGAAGGUGGGGAUGACGUCAAGUCAUCAUGGCCUUUAUACCCAGGGCUACACACGUCCUACAGUGGCCGUUACAGUGGGUUGCGACAUCGCAAGGUGAAGCGAAUCCUCAAAGGCGGCCAUGGUUCGGAUAGCAGGCUGCAAUUCGCCUGCUUGAAGACGGAAUCGCUAGUAAUCGCUGGUCAGCACGCAGCGGUGAAUACGUUCCCGGGUCUU
Molecule: ribosomal RNA, 488 nt
Filed under: uncultured bacterium
Lineage: Bacteria
Description: bacterial SSU rRNA
Rfam family: Bacterial small subunit ribosomal RNA
Source: RNAcentral